GAUGAACGCUGGCGGCGUGCUUAACACAUGCAAGUCGAACGAUGAAGCCCAGCUUGCUGGGUGGAUUAGUUGCGAACGGGUGAGUAACACGUGAGUAACCUGCCCUUAACUCUGGGAUAAGCCUGGGAAACUGGGUCUAAUACCUGAUAGGAGCGUCCACCGCAUGGUGGGUGUUGGAAAGAUUUAUCGGUUUUGGAUGGACUCGCGGCCUAUCCGCUUGUUGGUGAAGUAAUGGCUCACCAAGGCGACGACGGGUAGCCGGCCUGAGAGGGUGACCGGCCACACUGGGACUGAGACACGGCCCAGACUCCUACGGGAGGCAGCAGUGGGGAAUAUUGCACAAUGGGCGCAAGCCUGAUGCAGCGACGCCGCGUGAGGGAUGACGGCCUUCGGGUUGUAAACCUCUUUCAGUAGGGAAGAAGCGAAAGUGACGGUACCUGCAGAAGAAGCACCGGCUAACUACGUG
This 466-nucleotide ribosomal RNA is filed under the name uncultured bacterium. RNAcentral describes it as "partial 16S ribosomal RNA". It matches the Rfam family "Bacterial small subunit ribosomal RNA", at positions 28 to 507 of the family's 1533-position model. The record is from RNAcentral.